RNAcentral lists this ribosomal RNA (440 nucleotides) under uncultured bacterium. RNAcentral's name for it is "partial 16S ribosomal RNA". It matches the Rfam family "Bacterial small subunit ribosomal RNA", at positions 338 to 795 of the family's 1533-position model. The record is from RNAcentral.
CCUACGGGAGGCAGCAGUGGGGAAUAUUGCUCAAUGGGGGAAACCCUGAAGCAGCAACGCCGCGUGGGGGAUGAAGGUUCUCUGGUUGUUAACUCUUUUUGUUAGAGAAGAAAAAGACGGUAUCUUCCGACUAUGCACCGGCUCACUCCGAGACAGCCGCCGCGGUAAUAUGGAAGGGGCAAGCGUUACCCGGAAUCACUGGGCGUAAAGGGCGCGUAGGCGGGAUAGCAAGUCCGGUGUGAAAUCCUAGGGCUUAACCCUAGACCAGCAGUUGAAACUGGGCUUCUCGAGUAUGCGAGAGGUAGGUGGAAUUCUUGGUGUAGGGGUAAAAUGCGUAGAUAUCAAGAAGAAUACUGAUUGCGAAGGCAGCCUGCUGGAGCAUAACUGACGCUGAGGCGCGAAAGCGUGGGUAGCGAACAGGAUUAGAUACCCGAGUAGUC